CGGGAUCCCGGUCUGCAGUUGCAGGCCGGCGGCGCCGGUGCCGCCGUCCAGGCCGGUGCUGACGUCGGCGAUGCCGCCC
RNAcentral lists this transfer RNA (79 nucleotides) under Actinoplanes sp. L3-i22. Its description in RNAcentral is "tRNA-Thr". Lineage: Bacteria; Bacillati; Actinomycetota; Actinomycetes; Micromonosporales; Micromonosporaceae. The record is from RNAcentral.